This 563-nucleotide ribosomal RNA is filed under the name Cladophialophora sp. R3-1-NN-2016. RNAcentral describes it as "eukaryotic LSU rRNA". The stretch from base 269 to 423 matches the Rfam family "5.8S ribosomal RNA". Lineage: Eukaryota; Fungi; Ascomycota; Eurotiomycetes; Chaetothyriales; Herpotrichiellaceae. The record is from RNAcentral.
UCUUGGUCAUUUAGAGGAAGUAAAAGUCGUAACAAGGUUUCCGUAGGUGAACCUGCGGAAGGAUCAUUAAAGAGUUAGGGUCUUCUCGGCCCGACCUCCCAACCCUUUGUCUAUUGAACCUCUGUUGCUUCGGCGGACCCGUCCCCUCGGGGACCGCCGGAGGACCGUCGCAAGGCGUCCUCUGGCCCGCGUCCGCCGGUGGCCGACCAUUUAAACUCUUGAUUAAAUCAUGUUAUACUGUCUAAGUUUUAUAAGUUAAUAAAAGCAAAACUUUCAACAACGGAUCUCUUGGUUCUGGCAUCGAUGAAGAACGCAGCGAAAUGCGAUAAGUAAUGCGAAUUGCAGAAUUCCAGUGAGUCAUCGAAUCUUUGAACGCACAUUGCGCCCUUUGGCAUUCCGAAGGGCAUGCCUGUUCGAGCGUCAUUAUCACCCUUCAAGCCCUGCGCUUGGUGUUGGACGGCUUGGUCGCAUAUCUCGUUCGACCCCUCCUAAAGACAAUGACGGCGGCCUGUGGUUCCCCCGGUACACUGAGCUUUUUAACCGAGCACGUAUCGGACAAGGGC